AGACCGCGGAGGGUACUGGUUACAGCCUAUCCACGCCUCAGGAUAGAGACUGCAGAAAAUUGUGAAAUUUCCGGAUGAAAACUGAGUGAUCUUAAACCUGCCCCAUUCGUUGAAAAUCUACCUUAGGCUUCCCUGGUGGCACAGUGGUUAAGAAUCCGCCUGCCAAUGCAGGGAACAUGGGUUCGAGCCCUGGUCUGGGAAGAUCCCACAUGCCGAGGAGCAGCUAAGCCUGUGCGACACAACUACAGAGCCUGCGCUCUAGAGCCCACGAGCCACAACUACUGAGCCCACGUGCCAGAACUACUGAAGCCCACAUGCCUAGAGCCCGUGCUCUGCAACAAGAGAAGCCAUUGCAAUGAGAAGCACAUGCACCACAACGAAGAGUAGCCCCCGCUCGCCGCAACUACAGAAAGCCCAUGCACAUCAAUGAAGACCCAACACAGCCAUAAAUAAAUUAAAAAAAAAGCAUACCUUGGAGACUGUGGCUUCAGUCCAGACCACUGUAAUAAAGCAGAUACCACAAUAAAGCAAAUCACAUGAAUUUUUUGGUUUCCCAGUGCAUAUAAAAGUUACAUUUACACUAUACUGUAGUCUAUUAAGUGUGCAAUAGUAUUAUGUCUUUAAAAACAAUGUACAUGCCUUAAUUUUAAAAUACAUUAUUGCUAAAAAAUGCUAACCAUCAUCUGAGUCUUCAGUGAGUUGUAAUCUUUAUCAGGUGCAGGGUUUGAAAUAUUGCAAGAAUUACCAAAAUGUGACACAGAGACGUGAAGAGAGCAAAUACUGUUGGGAAA
Molecule: long non-coding RNA, 791 nt
Organism: Globicephala melas (long-finned pilot whale)
Lineage: Eukaryota; Metazoa; Chordata; Mammalia; Artiodactyla; Delphinidae
Source: RefSeq, a predicted model, not a curated record